AUGCUUGUUUUGCCAGCACAUAUACUAAAGUUUCAAAAAUACAGAGAUCAGCCUGACCCCUACACAAAAAUAAUACACAAAUUUUUGAAAUAUUUCAGGUGGUU
Molecule: small nuclear RNA, 104 nt
Filed under: Chinchilla lanigera (long-tailed chinchilla)
Lineage: Eukaryota; Metazoa; Chordata; Mammalia; Rodentia; Chinchillidae
Source: RNAcentral